Molecule: ribosomal RNA, 829 nt
Filed under: uncultured Acidobacteriota bacterium
Lineage: Bacteria; Pseudomonadati; Acidobacteriota
Description: bacterial SSU rRNA
Rfam family: Bacterial small subunit ribosomal RNA
Source: RNAcentral
CAUGCAAGUCGAACGCGAAAGUCCCCUUCGGGGGGCGAGUAGAGUGGCGCACGGGUGAGUAACACGUAGGUAAUCUACCUUUGGGUGGGGAAUAACAGCCGGAAACGGCUGCUAAUACCGCAUAAUGCAGCGGCACCACAUGGUGACAGUUGUUAAAGCGGGGGAUCGUAAGACCUCGCGCCUAGAGAUGAGCCUGCGGCAGAUUAGCUAGUUGGCAGGGUAACGGCCUACCAAGGCUUCGAUCUGUAGCCGGCCUGAGAGGGCGGACGGCCACACUGGCACUGACAUACGGGCCAGACUCCUACGGGAGGCAGCAGUCGGGAAUUUUGGGCAAUGGGCGAAAGCCUGACCCAGCAACGCCGCGUGAAGGAUGAAGCUUCUCGGAGUGUAAACUUCAUAAGAAUGGGACGAAUAAGUGGGGGAUAACACCCCCCAUGAUGACGGUACCAUUUGUAAGCUCCGGCUAACUCCGUGCCAGCAGCCGCGGUAAUACGGGGGGAGCAAGCGUUGUUCGGAUUUACUGGGCGUAAAGGGCGCGUAGGCGGCGCAACAAGUCACUUGUGAAAUCUCCGGGCUUAACCCGGAGCGGCCAAGUGAUACUGUCGUGCUAGAGUGCGGAAGGGGCUACUGGAAUUCUCGGUGUAGCGGUGAAAUACGUAGAUAUCGAGAGGAACACCUGCGGCGAAGCGGGUAGCUGGGCCGACACUGACGCUGAGGCGCGAAAGCCAGGGGAGCGAACGGGAUUAGAUACCCCGGUAGUCCUGGCCUUAAACGAUGGAUACUUGGUGUCCGGGGUUACAUAGUCCCCGGGUGCCGGCGCUAACGCAUU